Long non-coding RNA from Morus notabilis, 1502 nucleotides. RefSeq lists it as uncharacterized. The transcript has 4 exons. Lineage: Eukaryota; Viridiplantae; Streptophyta; Magnoliopsida; Rosales; Moraceae. The record is from RefSeq and is a predicted model, not a curated record.
AUAAGAAAAAAAAACCUCAUUCGCCUCUUCCCCUAAUCUGUCGAAUCCCAUUUACUUCGUAAACUCUUCUCACGCGGUGAACCAAACGUGAGAGAUUUUCUUGCUCUGCCUGCUUCUCCACAAGCUUCAACUUGGAACAAUUCCCACUCUUAGGGCUUUUUAGUCACCGAAAGGAAAAAGCCCUGAAGCCCUCUUCUUUCACUCGAAGCCCUCUUUGCGCAAUUCACUCGAAGCCCUAAGGACAAAUUCUUCCCUCAUUGCGCAAGACCCCAAAUUAUGUAGGUUCAUCGCUUGGUCGUAAACAGAGAUCCCAAAUACACAAACUUCGUUGAAUCGUAAAGGAGAGAAAGAUGGAUCUAGUCUGCGUCUGCGUGAGGAGCAAUCGUUGCUAACAUCAUCCUUUUUUCAAUUCGUUUCUGGUUUAUUAAUCCGUUCUGUCUUAGAAUAGGGGAUAUCCUUCUAGUUCGGGCACUUCUAUCACUUUGUGGAAAUGGAGGAUGUGAAAAAUGGCGAACAGCUACCUCCAGAGUCCUCUUCAUUAUCCAACCAUGAUGAUCAUUCUAGUAAUGAGACUACAGAAAACCCAGUUCUGAAUGGAAAACUCGAAAACAACGGUGAGUCAUUGAUGACGGGAAACUCGAAGUUAACAACUGCACAAGAUGCUUCUGAGCAAGACAACUUCCUCCAACAGACAAUCAGGCAUCUAGCUCAACAACCACGGAACAAAGUCAAGCAUCUGAUAGCCCAUCUAUAGGACAAAGUCAACCUGUUCUAUCCGAUGCUCCAGCCUUGACUUCACCAAAAGUAAUUAAUGAAACAGAGACCCAGAGUAAGGGUGUUGUGGUGGAAGGUUCUGAAAACCAACCUUUACAGGAUACCUCUAAUGCUUUAGCAUCCCGAAGGACAGGCAAAGAAAAUGAUACAGAUAAUCACAGUAACGCAACUGCUCCCUCUCCUUCCUUUUCGGAGGCAACAAAUUCUAAAAAGAUGACGUGAGUCUUCUAUUGAGUGAAGACUACUGGCUGAAGUCUUUCCACGGCAGGAGAAAGGCAGGAUAACAUCCCCGUUGUUGGACCGGAACAAGAAACGGAAGCUAGUCGUCAUUUGCCUAAGGUUUAAUGAAGUUUUCUAUUCUUAUAUUUUGCUUAAGUUGAUAAAAAAAAUGGUGUUACUAUUAUGCCAUUCUUGCUUAUGGGCUAAUAUUAUGCAUCCAUAGCUCAUUUGGAGUUAAAUUCUGUUGAUUGUUCCAUUCAUUCAUAAUAUUGAAUUUGCUCCCUUAGUAAGGUCUUCUAUGUACACGCAUAACAAUCAAGAUAAAACCAAUUAUAAAGUUAGGGAUUUUAAGACGUUUUGGUUACUCUUUUAUAUUGUUGAGCUUUGAAGCUAAAGGUCUUUGGACUUUCUUAUACAACCUUUAACAGAAGUGUUGUUGAUGAACUGUCUUAUACAGCCUUAUGUGUUGUAUACACCCAUAGAGAUGUAUAUAUGAUCUUUGGAAUCUA